This 253-nucleotide ribosomal RNA is filed under the name uncultured bacterium. Its description in RNAcentral is "partial 16S ribosomal RNA". It matches the Rfam family "Bacterial small subunit ribosomal RNA", at positions 524 to 776 of the family's 1533-position model. The record is from RNAcentral.
AACGUAGGAUGCGAGCGUUAUCCGGAGUUACUGGGCGUAAAGCGUCCGUAGGCGGUGUGGUAAGUUGGUCGUGAAAGCGCCGUGCUAAACGCGGCGAGGACGACUCAGACUGCUAGACUAGAGCGGCUCAGAGGCGCGUGGAAUUCGGGGUGUAGCGGUGAAAUGUGUAGAGAUCCCGAGGAACACCAGUGGGGCAACCGGCGCGCUGGGAGCAGGCUGACGAUGAGGCACGAAAGAGUGGGGAGCAAACGGG